This 253-nucleotide ribosomal RNA is filed under the name uncultured bacterium. Its description in RNAcentral is "partial 16S ribosomal RNA". It matches the Rfam family "Bacterial small subunit ribosomal RNA", at positions 524 to 776 of the family's 1533-position model. The record is from RNAcentral.
CACGGGGGGAGCAAGCGUUGUUCGGAAUUACUGGGCGUAAAGGGCGUGUAGGCGGUCUGGUAAGUGGGAUGUGAAAUGCCCCGGCUCACCCGGGGACCUGCAUCCCAAACUACCUGGCUUGAGUAUGGGAGAGGAUGAGGGAACUCCUGGUGUAGCGGUGAAAUGCGUAGAUAUCAGGAGGAACACCGGUGGCGAAAGCGCUCAUCUGGCCCAAUACUGACGCUGAGGCGCGAAAGCUAGGGGAGCAAACGGG